RNAcentral lists this ribosomal RNA (502 nucleotides) under uncultured bacterium. RNAcentral describes it as "partial 16S ribosomal RNA". It matches the Rfam family "Bacterial small subunit ribosomal RNA", at positions 30 to 523 of the family's 1533-position model. The record is from RNAcentral.
AUUGAACGCUGGCGGUAUGCUUAACAUAUGCAAGUCGAACGGCAGCACGGUAUGUAGCAAUACAUAUGGGUGGCAAGUGGCGGACGGGUGAGUAACGCGUAGGAAUCUGCCCUCAAGCGGGGGACAACCCGAGGAAACUCGGGCUAAUACCGCAUAAACUCGGAAGAGAAAAGCUGGGGUAACCUGGCACUUGAGGAGGAGCCUGCGUUUGAUUAGCUAGUUGGUAGGGUAAAGGCCUACCAAGGCGAUGAUCAGUAGCUGGUCUGAGAGGAUGACCCGCGACAGUCGAACUGAGACACGGUCCAGACUCCUACGGGAGGCAGCAGCGGGGAAUAUUGGACAAUGGGGGAAACCCUAAUCCAGCAAUACCGCGUGUGUGAAGAAGGCCUUCGGGUUGUAAAGCACUUUAGUUGGGGAGGAAGGUUAGCAGUUUAGGAGAUGGCUAAUUUGACUGUACCCAAAGAAUAAGCACCGGCUAACUCUGUGCCAGCCGCCGCAGUAA